UACGUAGGGUGCGAGCGUUGUCCGGAAUUAUUGGGCGUAAAGAGCUCGUAGGCGGUCUGUCGCGUCGGUCGUGAAAACUUGGGGCUUAACCCUGGGCUGGCUUUCGAUACGGGCAGACUGGAGGUAUGCAGGGGAGAACGGAAUUCCUGGUGUAGCGGUGAAAUGUGUAGAGAUCGGGAGGAACACCGGUGGCGAAGGCGGUCUUCUGGACGGUGACUGACGCUGAGGCGCGAAAGCGUGGGGAGCAAACGGG
Molecule: ribosomal RNA, 253 nt
Filed under: uncultured bacterium
Lineage: Bacteria
Description: partial 16S ribosomal RNA
Rfam family: Bacterial small subunit ribosomal RNA
Source: RNAcentral